Molecule: ribosomal RNA, 497 nt
Filed under: uncultured bacterium
Lineage: Bacteria
Description: partial 16S ribosomal RNA
Rfam family: Bacterial small subunit ribosomal RNA
Source: RNAcentral
GAUGAACGCUGGCGGCGUGCCUAAUACAUGCAAGUCGGGCGAACAGACGAGGAGCUUGCUCCUCUGACGUUAGCGGCGGACGGGUGAGUAACACGUGGAUAACCUACCUAUAAGACUGGGAUAACUUCGGGAAACCGGAGCUAAUACCGUAUAACAUGUUGAACCGCAUGGUUCAACAGUGAAAGACGGUCUUGCUGUCACUUAUAGAUGGAUCCGCGCCGCAUUAGCUAGUUGGUAAGGUAACGGCUUACCAAGGCAACGAUGCGUAGCCGACCUGAGAGGGUGAUCGGCCACACUGGAACUGAGACACGGUCCAGACUCCUACGGGAGGCAGCAGUAGGGAAUCUUCCGCAAUGGGCGAAAGCAUGACGGAGCAACGCCGCGUGAGUGAAGAAGGUCUUCGGAUCGUAAAACUCUGUUAUUAGGGAAGAAAAAAUGUGUAAGUAACUAUGCACGUCUUGACGGUACCUAAUCAGAAAGCCACGGCUAACUACGUG